Molecule: long non-coding RNA, 469 nt
Organism: Saccostrea echinata
Lineage: Eukaryota; Metazoa; Mollusca; Bivalvia; Ostreida; Ostreidae
Exons: 3
Source: RefSeq, a predicted model, not a curated record
UUUCAAGAAGAAUGGAUACCCUUUAAAGACCAUCUUUAUUUGGUUGGCAGCAAUAAAUCUGAUUUGAAUUCUGCCAAGUCGCACUGUAUAUCUCAUGGAGGAUAUUUGGCUGAGAUUGAAUCAGAGGAAGAGAACAACUGGAUAACAGAAACUUUUCUGGUCCCUCUGUAUGAAAAUAAAAAUGUUGACUGGACAGUAUCGGUGCUUUGGAUUGGUGGACGCUGCACAAGAAAGGACAGGAAAUCAUGUCUGUGGGAGGAGAGCAAUCAAGCAUUCUCUUAUCAUAACUGGCACGAAGGAAACCCAGAUGGUGAUGGCCCAUGUGUAUUUCUUGCCAAAUCUGGCAAAUGGAAUGACUUUUCUUGUGAUAAUCAUCGUUUUUACAUAUGUGAAAAGAAUACAGUGUACUCCUGAUGAAUCGAAAUCCCGUUGGCAUCGGUUUAGAUUUCGUUAUAACCGAUAUUCGUUA